UGACGGUACCUGACUAAGAAGCCCCGGCUAACUACGUGCCAGCAGCCGCGGUAAUACGUAGGGGGCAAGCGUUAUCCGGAUUUAUUGGGCGUAAAGAGAGUGCAGGCGGUUUCUUAAGUCUGAUGUGAAAGCCUUCGGCUCAACCGAAGAAGUGCAUCGGAAACUGGGAAACUUGAGUACAGAAGAGGGCAGUGGAACUCCAUGUGUAGCGGUGGAAUGCGUAGAUAUAUGGAAGAACACCAGUGGCGAAGGCGGCUGCCUGGUCUGUAACUGACGCUGAGACUCGAAAGCAUGGGUAGCGAACAGGAUUAGAUACCCUG
This 320-nucleotide ribosomal RNA is filed under the name uncultured bacterium. Its description in RNAcentral is "bacterial SSU rRNA". It matches the Rfam family "Bacterial small subunit ribosomal RNA", at positions 470 to 789 of the family's 1533-position model. The record is from RNAcentral.